RNAcentral lists this ribosomal RNA (475 nucleotides) under uncultured Bacillus sp. RNAcentral describes it as "bacterial SSU rRNA". It matches the Rfam family "Bacterial small subunit ribosomal RNA", at positions 66 to 525 of the family's 1533-position model. The record is from RNAcentral. Lineage: Bacteria; Bacillati; Bacillota; Bacilli; Caryophanales; Bacillaceae.
GCGGACAGUAGGGAGCUUGCUCCUGUAGUUAGCGGCGGACGGGUGAGUAACACGUGGGUAACCUGCCUGUAAGACUGGGUAACUCCGGGAAACCGGGGCUAAUACCGGAUGCUUGUUUGAACCGCAUGGUUCAAACAUAAAAGGUGGCUUCGGCUACCACUUACAGAUGGACCCGCGGCGCAUUAGCUAGUUGGUGAGGUAAUGGCUCACCAAGGCAACGAUGCGUAGCCGACCUGAGAGGGUGAUCGGCCACACUGGGACUGAGACACGGCCCAGACUCCUACGGGAGGCAGCAGUAGGGAAUCUUCCGCAAUGGACGAAAGUCUGACGGAGCAACGCCGCGUGAGUGAUGAAGGUUUUCGGAUCGUAAAGCUCUGUUGUUAGGGAAGAACAAGUACCGUUCGAAUAGGGCGGUACCUUGACGGUACCUAACCAGAAAGCCACGGCUAACUACGUGCCAGCAGCCGCGUUAAUA